AUCUGGCGUCGCUGCCGGCGGAGAAGCGCCGGUAGAAGUCGGCCAGACUGGCUUGCGGCCGCGCCCAUAAGCAACCCGCGGCGAGACGAGCCUGGAACCACCGCUUUGAAGGAGGACACCAGCCAUCGCUGAACCUGCAAGCAAACUGCCCAUCAAGUCGGAAGAAAAAGACGUCGAACGUCGCGCGGAGUCCUGGCUCCCCUUUGAGAGCCUCAGAUCCGAGAUCGACCGGCUGUUCGACGACUUCGCUCCGAACCUGUGGCAUCGCCCCUUGGCUUCCGCCCUCAUGCGUCGGGUGCCACGACUGUCAGAGUUGGAGGUGGCGCCGGCCGUUGAUUUGGCGGAGACAGACAAGAGGUGCGAAAUUACCUGUGAACUGCCAGGGAUGGAGGAAACGGACAUAGAGGUAGCGGUCUUGAGCGGAACCUUGACGAUCCGGGGCAAGAAGCAGGAGCAGAAAGAAGAGAAGCGCAGGGCUACGUCAUUUCGGAGCGUCGCUACGGCUCAUUUCAGCGGGCCUUCCGACUGGCUCACGCCGUAGAUGCCGACAACAUCGCGCCAAAUUUUCGAAGGGCGUUCUUUGGGUGACCCUGCGAAAGACCCGAAACGCAGCAGAGCGCACGCAAGAUCCAGAUCAAACAAGCCUAGCAUUCGCACCACACUCGCGUCACGCGUGGGCGCUUUAAUGGAGAAAAA
RNAcentral lists this small RNA (696 nucleotides) under Sinorhizobium meliloti 2011. RNAcentral's name for it is "putative ncRNA". The record is from RNAcentral. Lineage: Bacteria; Pseudomonadati; Pseudomonadota; Alphaproteobacteria; Hyphomicrobiales; Rhizobiaceae.